Molecule: non-coding RNA, 503 nt
Organism: Myodes glareolus (Bank vole)
Lineage: Eukaryota; Metazoa; Chordata; Mammalia; Rodentia; Cricetidae
Source: RefSeq, a predicted model, not a curated record
AAGGAAGCGGGACUGGCGCCGCUCGGUGGCGCUGCUGGGAUCCUGAGAGGGUUUUUCAUGCGUGUCCAGCCUAGGAAAGAGUGUCAGGACCUCUUUGCAUCCCUCCCCAACCCGAGCCCCAAGAGAGAGGCAGUUUCCCUAGAGAAAGCAAGAGCUGGGAGUGGGCGAUCUAGAGAACGACGCGAGUGGGGCCGAUCACCCGAUGUUAACACAGGACCUGACCCUGACGUCAGGGCCCUGGUGGCCGUGCGACCCAGGCGCAGAGAUGAGUGAAGCCUCGUCAUCAGUUCGGAGGCUGAGAAGCGCCUUCGCUCCUGAGCCUCAAGGCCCCCUCUGGUGUUUCUGGAAAGCUCCUGUGGCCUGGGCUCUUCCGCACACAGAGCCUGCUCGUGUGCAGCCUGGCCAGUCUCCAGAAGACCCAUGGGGGUCUCAGUGCCACCAGUGGCCUCUUCAUUAUGAUAUACUUGGAUCUUGCGCCCUAGGGGUGGGGUAAAAUAACAGCG